CCUACGGGUGGCUGCAGUGAGGAAUAUUGGUCAAUGGGCGGAAGCCUGAACCAGCCAAGUAGCGUGCAGGAUGACGGUCCUAUGGAUUGUAAACCUCUUUUGUCGGGGAGCAAAAAGGCCUCGUGAGGCCACAAGUGAGAGUACCCGAAGAAAAAGCAUCGGCUAACUCCGUGCCAGUAGCCGCGGUAAUACGGAGGAUGCGAGCGUUAUUCGGAUUUAUUGGGUUUAGAGGGUGCGUAGGCGGACUGGAAAGUCAGCGGUAAAAUCGAGAGGCUCAACCUCUUUCCGCCGUUGAAACUGUCGGUCUUGAGUGGGCGAGAAGUAUGCGGAAUGCGCGGUGUAGCGGUGAAAUGCAUAGAUAUCGCGCAGAACUCCGAUUGCGAAGGCAGCAUGCCGGCUCCACACUGACGCUGAGGCACGAAAGCGUGGGUAUCGAACAGGAUUAGAUACCCCUGUAGUC
This 460-nucleotide ribosomal RNA is filed under the name uncultured bacterium. RNAcentral's name for it is "partial 16S ribosomal RNA". It matches the Rfam family "Bacterial small subunit ribosomal RNA", at positions 338 to 795 of the family's 1533-position model. The record is from RNAcentral.